AGGGGCCCAAAUUGACAGCCCACGGCGUAAAGAGUGGUUAUGGGAAUAGAAAACUAGAGCUGAAGGGCCCCCGGGCAGUUAAAAGCAUUCCGGCCGCUCGAACCACAGUCACGAAAGUAGCUCUAACCCCUUCCACCAGAUUCCACGACAGCUGAGAAACRAACUGGGAUUAGAUACCCCACUAUGCUCAAGCCGUAAACUUARAUACUGCAUCACUACAGGUAUCCGCCUGGGGAUUACGAGCGACA
RNAcentral lists this ribosomal RNA (248 nucleotides) under Herklotsichthys quadrimaculatus (bluestripe herring). Its description in RNAcentral is "partial small subunit ribosomal RNA". The record is from RNAcentral. Lineage: Eukaryota; Metazoa; Chordata; Actinopteri; Clupeiformes; Clupeidae.